CUACGGGUUGCUGCAGUGGGGAAUAUUGGACAAUGGGGGAUACCCUGAUCCAGCAAUGCCGCGUGUGUGAAGAAGGCCUGCGGGUUGUAAAGCACUUUCGGUUGGGAGGACUGCUUCUAGCACUAAUAUUGUUGGAAGUUGACGUUACCUUCAGAAGAAGCACCGGGUAACUCCGUGCCAGGCAGCCGCGGUAAUACGGAGGGUGCAAACGUUAAUCGGAAUUACUGGGCGUAAAGCGCGCGUAGGCGGCUAGAUCAGUCGGGUGUGAAAGCCCCGGGCUUAACCUGGGAACUGCAUCCGAUACUGUCUAGCUUGAGUACAGGAGAGGAGAGUGGAAUUCCACAUGUAGCGGUGAAAUGCGUAGAUAUGUGGAGGAACACCAAUGGCGAAGGCAGCUCUCUGGCCUGAUACUGACGCUGAGGUGCGAAAGCGUGGGGAGCAAACAGGAUUAGAUACCCCGGUAGUC
RNAcentral lists this ribosomal RNA (466 nucleotides) under uncultured bacterium. Its description in RNAcentral is "partial 16S ribosomal RNA". It matches the Rfam family "Bacterial small subunit ribosomal RNA", at positions 339 to 795 of the family's 1533-position model. The record is from RNAcentral.